RNAcentral lists this ribosomal RNA (361 nucleotides) under Phaeoacremonium sp. RNAcentral describes it as "eukaryotic LSU rRNA". It matches the Rfam family "Eukaryotic large subunit ribosomal RNA", at positions 1 to 365 of the family's 3401-position model. Lineage: Eukaryota; Fungi; Ascomycota; Sordariomycetes; Togniniales; Togniniaceae. The record is from RNAcentral.
GUUGACCUCGGAUCAGGUAGGAAUACCCGCUGAACUUAAGCAUAUCAAUAAGCGGAGGAAAAGAAACCAACAGGGAUUGCCCCAGUAACGGCGAGUGAAGCGGCAACAGCUCAAAUUUGAAAUCUGGCCUCGGCCCGAGUUGUAAUUUGCAGAGGAUGCUUCUGGCGCGGUGCCUUCCGAGUUCCCUGGAACGGGACGCCAUAGAGGGUGAGAGCCCCGUAUGGUUGGAUACCUAGCCUGUGUGAAGCUCCUUCGACGAGUCGAGUAGUUUGGGAAUGCUGCUCAAAAUGGGAGGUAUAUCUCUUCUAAAGCUAAAUACCGGCCAGAGACCGAUAGCGCACAAGUAGAGUGAUCGAAAGAU